Molecule: ribosomal RNA, 457 nt
Filed under: uncultured delta proteobacterium
Lineage: Bacteria; Deltaproteobacteria
Description: partial 16S ribosomal RNA
Rfam family: Bacterial small subunit ribosomal RNA
Source: RNAcentral
CCUACGGGUGGCAGCAGUGAGGAAUCUUGCGCAAUGGGGGGAACCCUGACGCAGCAACGCCGCGUGAGUGAAGAAGGCCUUCGGGUUGUAAAGCUCUGUCAAGUGGGAAGAAAUACUCGGUGCUAAUAUCGCCGGGGACUGACGGUACCACUAAAGGAAGCACCGGCUAACUCCGUGCCAGCAGCCGCGGUAAGACGGAGGGUGCAAGCGUUGUUCGGAAUUACUGGGCGUAAAGAGCGUGUAGGCGGUUAAUUAAGUCGGAGGUGAAAGCCCCUGGCUUAACCAGGUAAGUGCAUCCGAAACUGGUUGACUUGAGUACGGGAGAGGAGAGUGGAAUUCCUGGAGUAGAGGUGAAAUUCGUAGAUCUCAGGAGGAACACCGGGGGCGAAGGCGACUCUCUGAACCGAUACUGACGCUGAGACGCGAAAGCGUGGGGAGCAAACAGGAUUAGAUACCC